This 687-nucleotide ribosomal RNA is filed under the name Mycetocola sp. THA6.9. RNAcentral's name for it is "bacterial SSU rRNA". It matches the Rfam family "Bacterial small subunit ribosomal RNA", at positions 56 to 755 of the family's 1533-position model. Lineage: Bacteria; Bacillati; Actinomycetota; Actinomycetes; Micrococcales; Microbacteriaceae. The record is from RNAcentral.
UGCAGUCGACGAUGAACCAGGAGCUUGCUCUUGGGGAUUAGUGGCGAACGGGUGAGUAACACGUGAGUAACCUGCCCUUGACUCUGGGAUAAGCGUUGGAAACGACGUCUAAUACCGGAUACGAGCUUCCACCGCAUGGUGAGUUGCUGGAAAGAAUUUUGGUCAAGGAUGGACUCGCGGCCUAUCAGCUUGUUGGUGAGGUAAUGGCUCACCAAGGCGACGACGGGUAGCCGGCCUGAGAGGGUGACCGGCCACACUGGGACUGAGACACGGCCCAGACUCCUACGGGAGGCAGCAGUGGGGAAUAUUGCACAAUGGGCGAAAGCCUGAUGCAGCAACGCCGCGUGAGGGACGACGGCCUUCGGGUUGUAAACCUCUUUUAGCAGGGAAGAAGCGAAAGUGACGGUACCUGCAGAAAAAGCACCGGCUAACUACGUGCCAGCAGCCGCGGUAAUACGUAGGGUGCAAGCGUUGUCCGGAAUUAUUGGGCGUAAAGAGCUCGUAGGCGGUUUGUCGCGUCUGCUGUGAAAUCCCGAGGCUCAACCUCGGGUCUGCAGUGGGUACGGGCAGACUAGAGUGCGGUAGGGGAGAUUGGAAUUCCUGGUGUAGCGGUGGAAUGCGCAGAUAUCAGGAGGAACACCGAUGGCGAAAGGCAGAUCUCUGGGCCGCUACUGACGCUGAGGAGCG